Molecule: ribosomal RNA, 255 nt
Filed under: uncultured bacterium
Lineage: Bacteria
Description: partial 16S ribosomal RNA
Rfam family: Bacterial small subunit ribosomal RNA
Source: RNAcentral
UACGUAGGGUGCAAGCGUUGUCCGGAAUUAUUGGGCGUAAAGAGCUCGUAGGCGGUUUGUCGCGUCUGCUGUGAAAACUGGAGGCUCAACCUCCAGCCUGCAGUGGGUACGGGGCAAACUAGAGUGCGGUAGGGGGAGAUUGGAAUUCCUGGUGUAGCGGUGGAAUGCGCAGAUAUCAGGAGGAACACCGAUGGCGAAGGCAGAUCUCUGGGCCGUAACUGACGCUGAGGAGCGAAAGCGUGGGGAGCGAACAGG